This 253-nucleotide ribosomal RNA is filed under the name uncultured bacterium. Its description in RNAcentral is "partial 16S ribosomal RNA". It matches the Rfam family "Bacterial small subunit ribosomal RNA", at positions 524 to 776 of the family's 1533-position model. The record is from RNAcentral.
GACGUAGGAUGCAAGCGUUAUCCGGAAUGAUUGGGCGUAAAGCGUCCGUAGGUGGCAGUUCAAGUCUGCUGUCAAAGACCGGGGCUUAACUUCGGAAAGGCAGUGGAAACUGAACAGCUAGAGUAUGGUAGGGGCAGAGGGAAUUCCUGGUGUAGCGGUGAAAUGCGUAGAGAUCAGGAAGAACAUCGGUGGCGAAGGCGCUCUGCUGGACCAUAACUGACACUCAGGGACGAAAGCUAGGGGAGCGAAUGGG